GACCAACAAAAACUGAGACUGAAGUCGCCAGUCCUGAGGAAGCAGGCUUGCCCCCAGUGGAAACACUCAUUUGUCUUCAGUGGCGUAACCCCAGCUCAGCUGAGGCAGUCAAGCUUGGAGUUAACUGUCUGGGAUCAGGCCCUCUUUGGAAUGAACGACCGCUUGCUUGGAGGAACCAGACUUGGUUCAAAGGGAGACACAGCUGUUGGCGGGGAUGCAUGCUCACUAUCGAAGCUCCAGUGGCAGAAAGUCCUUUCCAGCCCCAAUCUAUGGACAGACAUGACUCUUGUCCUGCACUGACAUGAAGGCCUCAAGGUUCCAGGUUGCAGCAGGCGUGAGGCACUGUGCGUCUGCAGAGGGGCUACGAACCAGGUGCAGGGUCCCAGCUGGAGACCCCUUUGACCUUGAGCAGUCUCCAUCUGCGGCCCUGUCCCAUGGCUUAACCGCCUAUUGGUAUCUGUGUAUAUUUACGUUAAACACAAUUAUGUUACCUAAGCCUCUGGUGGGUUAUCUCCUCUUUGAGAUGUAGAAAAUGGCCAGAUUUUAAUAAACGUUGUUACCC
This 562-nucleotide long non-coding RNA is filed under the name Homo sapiens (human). Its description in RNAcentral is "HSALNT0115798". Lineage: Eukaryota; Metazoa; Chordata; Mammalia; Primates; Hominidae. The record is from RNAcentral.